UACGGGGGGGGCAAGCGUUGUUCGGAAUUACUGGGCGUAAAGCGCGCGUAGGCGGGUGGACAAGUCUCUCGUGAAAGCCCACGGCUCAACCGUGGAAUUGCGGGAGAUACUGUCUGGCUUGAGUCCGGGAGAGGAGGGUGGAAUUCCCAGUGUAGCGGUGAAAUGCGUAGAUAUUGGGAGGAACACCGGUGGCGAAGGCGGCUCUCUGGACCCGUACUGACGCUGAGGCGCGAAAGCUAGGGGAGCAAACGGG
Molecule: ribosomal RNA, 253 nt
Filed under: uncultured bacterium
Lineage: Bacteria
Description: partial 16S ribosomal RNA
Rfam family: Bacterial small subunit ribosomal RNA
Source: RNAcentral